AUACGGAGGGUGCAAGCGUUAUCCGGAAUCAUUGGGUUUAAAGGGUCCGUAGGCGGGCGAUUAAGUCAGAGGUGAAAUCCCACAGCUCAACUGUGGAACUGCCUUUGAUACUGGUUGUCUUGAGUUACAGUGAAGUAGAUAGAAUGUGUAGUGUAGCGGUGAAAUGCAUAGAUAUUACACAGAAUACCGAUUGCGAAGGCAGUCUACUAACUGUAUACUGACGCUAAUGGACGAAAGCGUGGGGAGCGAACAGGAUUAGAUACCCCGGUAGUCC
This 274-nucleotide ribosomal RNA is filed under the name uncultured bacterium. RNAcentral describes it as "partial 16S ribosomal RNA". It matches the Rfam family "Bacterial small subunit ribosomal RNA", at positions 523 to 796 of the family's 1533-position model. The record is from RNAcentral.